CUCCUCCAGCUCAUAGAUAGUGUCGAAGUCCGCCAUAUUGGGCAGUAGUACGCUCAUCUCACACCCCCCCGCGCGGCCUCGCCGCGCGCCUGCGCACUGCGCACCGGGGGCGGAGCCCCGCGCGGCCGCGGCGGCGGGAGGCCGGCGCGCAUGCGCAAUGCAGCCUGUGAGAGGCUUGAGGGGAACGCGGCCCGUCGAGGCGGCGAGUUGGAGGAGAAGGCGUAGCGCUGUUUUCUCGUCCUGCGGCCGCUGGAGUGCUCGCUGAGGGGACGUGGGUAUCUCCUGCUGCUGCCGCCGUCUCCCGGGAGGCGGGCGGGGUUGAGGCCGGUUCCGCCGACGGGAGGCAGCUGCCGCCGCCGUGCCUCAGGAUACAAAAUGAGUCUGACAUGAUUUUUCUUCUAUCAAAUAUGAACUUGGGCCAAGAUUCACACUUACAGAAUGCUUUCGAAACGUUUAUGUGUACUGUGACAAGUGGCCGUACCUGCUCCUCAGCUCUCCUCCCUCCCAGUGCCUACCCACCUGCUGCAUGGCUGGAGGGAUGCUUGCCUUGCGGCACAGGCUCGGCAUGGCAUCCUCUUGCAGAGGCUCCCUGCAACUAGGACUCCUGGCACACAGCAGUUCCGUUGCCCUUGGGAACCUGUGCUAUCCUGCAGACCUGAUUCCUAAAGCCUGAGAAACAGCUCUCGAACCAUCUGUAUUCUUUACAAAUGAAACUGUUAAGCAUCCUGUUACACAGAUGACUUUUGUCUUCAGUCAUACCUGUGAGAAAUCCCGUCAAGACGAUGUACCUGGCCGGCUCCUGUGCAGGACAGCCUAGCGCUCUGCAGAUUUCUCAGAAGAGGUGAUGAAGGCGGUGGGAGAGAAGCAACUUGCAUCACAUGGAGCAACCUCACUCUUAAAAGGAGAAUGCUGGAGAGGAUUUGUAUCACAAGGUGACCUUGAGGAACAGCAAGUGUUGUGGAGAAAAAAAGAAGGUUUCCGGAUUAGCUCACUUGACCUGCGAAGGUUUGGAGGAAAAGCAGUUGCGGGUAUCCGGGCGCAGCCUCCCGCAAGCCCAGAGUGGGGCCGGCAGAUGGCUUAACUACAUGCAAAAAGAGACAGAUUAUGGGUCACGUAGAUCCAAAGCAGUGGCUGAAGGGGUGCUGAGUGUUCAGGAGCCUUUCCAGGAUGGCCUCACAAAUGUGCUUUGCUGCAGGAGCUCCUGGAUUUCCUGUUGCUGCUGCUGCUGCUGCCUGAGAUGGGGCAAAGAAAUGAACCGAGUUGUCCCCCGCUGCCUCCCAGCAUCGCCCGUCCCUGCAAAGCCGGAGCUGCGUGAGCAUCAGGAGACACCUGCUACCUCAAACUCUGCAGUCUGGCUUCCCAUGUGGUGGUAAAUCAGCGGGGUCAGGAUGCCCAAGGUGCAAGAAGUGGAUGGGAAAACCCAACCGCCUGUUCCCCUUCGCCAGCAGCGUCCUCGGACCAGCGCCGCGCCAGUCCCCCCCCCGAGCGACUUCGGUUACGCGCUACAAGAGAAACAGGAUCAUUUGACCAGGCGAAGCCCAGCACGGCCCCAGCGUCCUCUUCACUGCAAGCAAUAAUGUACGCAAGAGGAAAAAAAAAAAAAAAAGCUAAAAAAAGCUGGGCUUGGGGUGGUGCUGAAGCAGCAGGUGGAUGUGAAGCCGUGAUGUUUGAGGGCUGGGUGAGCCUGCGCCCGACCCUGCUCAGCCUCCGGCCCCGCAGCCGCCUUGGUGCUCGCAGCUUUGCCUCUGUCCUGCCUCUCUCUUUCUCCCCGGGCAGAGCUGCUUGGCUUUCCCAUCUUUUUUUUUUUUUUUUAUUCCCUUGUCUGACUGGUCUCCUAACACGUGCGGGCUGGCGCUGGGGCCAGGCCGUGUGCCAGCGAGCUGGCCAUCACUCACCCAGGCAGGCGCCCGCAGGACAGGUAGGAAAGAGCAGAAAGGCGGCGGCGUUGGGGGAAGCAUCGCUCUUUGGCUGCAGCUGAUUAUAGCGGCUUGGUACGUGCGCCUGUGCGUUCCUCCGCGCGACGACAGGCAUCGCUCCCAGCCGCUGCGGCCUCUCGAUGCCACGGCGCGGUUAACGCCGGUUCUCCGGGCCGUGACCGGAUUUUUUGGGCUCUCUAGAAAUACCUGACUCCGCUGCCUUACCUGUGAAACGCCACCGGGUUUCUGGAGGGAGUGCUUUGCCUUUCGGGGCGUAAAGCACCCGGUUCCCUCGCCCUGUGGGCUCUCGCUGCCUCCACGCCACGGGAAAACCCGGGCGGGAAGCCGCCCAUCUCCGCGGGCUCGGCCCUCCGCAGCGGAGCAGCGCGCGGCCGGGCUCCCUCCCCUGCAAAUCCCCCCCCGGCUCUGCUUCCGCGCGCGCUGAGCUGCUGCUUCUGCUGCUCCCAACGCGGCUGUCGUUCGACGCCUGUCUGGAGACCUGGGCUGUCUCCAGCGUUGGGCCGGAGCUGAGCAAAGGCCGCUAACAGAAAGCAUUUUAAAACCAUGUUUCGCAGAAGCCUGGAGCCGAGCUCCACUCAGCGCAACCCCUGCCAGCACUUGCAAGGCGCCGGUUUGUCAGCGUUGACCCUCCAGCUACUCCUUAAGCAUAGCGCUCGGGGCAGGCGGGGGGCACAAAGCAAGGGGGAGGUGGGAUGGUUCCGCAACAAUCCUACUUCUCGGUGCCGCACGAACGCCUUGGUGCCGGCUUUGCUGACAAGCUGGAGCCCCACCCCAGCGACUCGUGCUCAGCCUUUGGGAAAAGAGGGAGACCGCUCUCAGGGAAAUGAUUUAAAAUGCCUUCAGAUGCCUUUUCACUUCUUUUUAUUUAAUUCCAUAAAUAUUUUCAUAAGGCUCAGUGUCUUUACAACACUUUUUUAAACACUUUUUUUUUUGUUUGUUUUAUACACACAACUUUGACACUUGUUUGACAGGGUCAAACAGUCCAAUAUAAACAAAAUAAUAAAACUGGCAAGUGCGGAUCAGCUGGGUUACCAAAAUCCUUUUUUUUUUCUUUUUUUUUUUUUCUUUUUAUUUUUUUGCUCUUACUGUUAAAACCCCAAAAGCACUAAAAUAUCAGUAUUUGGCUUCAAACUAGAAUUUUAAAAACCUUUUUUUUUUUUUUUUUUUUAAAUUCUCUGCUACAAGUCCCUGUCGUCAUAGUGCCUUUAAACUCCUACAGACUCUUCUUUUCUUCUUAAGGAAAAAUAAGCUUGGUGAUGCCAUGCAGAACUUACAAUAGCUACUAAAUAUACAUGUUCCCUGAAAUGUAGCUGCGAUGAAAAGAUGACAGAGCAUAAAGAGAACAAAACCAGAAACCCAAAGCACCACAGUGUACUACCAAUAACAUUGCAAUGGACGGCCGGUGACCGUCCGGAAACUGAAACAGAUUUCAAAUAUAUUUCUCUAUGUAUUAUUUUUCUAUUUACAACUGUUAGAUGCACCUAGGUUGGUUCUUGUUUGAUCUUUUUUGGAGAGGGUGGGGAGGCGGAAGUCUUGAAUUUAGAUCCUCUGUUCUAGUGGCUAGGUCAAGGGGUAAUGCAUGUCACUUGCCUAGGGAAGAGGGUCGGUUUGUUUUUUUAUAUAUAUAUAUAGAGUCAGCCAGAGAAAUACCGUAAACAUGUAAGUUUGUUACAACUCUCUUGCUUCUGCAUAUGGAAUGGUUAAGUGGGUUCCUCCUGUCUGGCAUUGAAAUGAAAGUCUGUAUCGGAUGCUCGGUCAAAAAUCACCCCGAUCUGAUCGCGCCCGCGCUGCUCCCAGCGCGUUCGGCCACACGAGGCAGCCCAACCCCGCUCCCUACUGGGAAAGCCACGGUAGGGAGUAAAGUGGGGCCCAGUGCUGGUUCUUCGCUGUGCCAAUGCUCCAUCUCUUGCAGCACCUUGGCCAUUUAGGGAGGGGAAGAGCUUUCUUGAGUGCCAUGCCUGAGAGCCAAGCCCCUCUUCCCUCGGGAACAAACGCCUGCAUCUGCUUUGCCGGCCGCCUGGCUUCGGCAAGCGCUAGCAACGCCAGCUCCGUUUGGCUUUCCAUUUAAGAAAGAAGCUGCGAGUCCAACAAGUGGCCUUGUCAGAUCAAGCGAGUCUUGAUUUAUGAUGCAAAUAAUGGUGUGGCGGUGGUGUUUCUUUUUUCCUAGUGCUGAAUAUUUAGGAAGCAUCUUCUCAUAAAAAUUAUGGAUGUCUCAUUCUCACUCUCUGAGGCACAAAACAGUAAAUGAACAGGCUUAACUAAUGUGCUUGUUACUUUUUUUCCCUAAGCAAUUAAAAAGGCAAAGGAAUAAGUGAGAUUUUCAUCAUGUUGACAACAGUUUGUAAUCUCUCUCUCUUUCUCUCUCUCUCUCUCUCUGCAUCUCUCCAGCCAUUCAGAAACAGUAAAACAUUUCAGUUAACGUCCGAGAGCCCAUCUCAUUCACGUCUUUAAAUACCCACUCUGUUAAAGAAACAAAAUAAUAUUUGCUACAUAUUCAAUAUUAAAAUCUGACCAUAAAAAUGCAAAGAUACAAAAGAGCAUAAAAAUAAGUUCUGAUAUAAAAUUGGGCUGCCUCCUAUUUGGGAUUCCCGGUGUUUCGCUGCUGCCUGUCACAGAGGGGCCACUCUUCCUCUCCAAAACGCUCAUCUGGUUAGCGAUAGUUUCUAGGUUAUUAAAAAGUGCUGAGAUUAUUUGUGUACUUAAAUUAAAAAAUACAGCCGCUGCCUUGUAAUACGCCCUGAAAUAAAACAGGCUCCACGGAAACACUGAAACCACACUCUCUGCUCCUCCCAUUCGCUUGAAUGUCUUAGGGGAGAGAAAAAAGAAAAGGAUCUCCACGCGCGUUGGCCGGGGGUGCGUAUGUGGUGUAUCAGAUUCAAAAGAAAACGAUAAAUACCGCGAUCAAUCGCUUCGCCCCCCCAUUUUCAAAGGAGCUUGCAGAAUAGCUCUGCAACGUUUUUAAGUUCAUCUUCCAAAUCUGGUUAAACAGUCUCAUUUGCCCUAGGAAAAAAGUCAUCCUAGCGCACAAUGAUUUGUUUUACAAGCUCAAGCGUACGCUUUCGCGCUUGCGAACAAGCGUACUUAAGGCUGAAAUUGUAGGAAUUGUCUUUGAGAACAGAGCUAUGAAUCUCCAGAGGGAGAAAAAGAGAGAGAAAGAGACCUGGAGAGUUCAGCCAAUCACUCCAGAGCCCACUGGCGCCGAUACACCUGUGCGGAGCCACUGGUGCCGCUCACAUUAACCCCAUCACUGAUUCGGGCUAGGUCACGCAAUCGCCGUCAGGCGGCUAAACUUCUCAGGUCACAUCCGUAUCUUUCCUGCAAGGCAAUUCUCAACUCCUCUGCAGCUCGGGGUGCGUUAAAUAGCAGGUAAAUACUUCCAAUUACUGAGGCAAUGAUCCUUCCGCUAACGGGCCACUACCGGCAGCUCAUGUUUUGCCUGGGAGGUCAGUGCCCGCGCGAGGCCGGGGAUCUUACACGCGACAGGGCAGCGCAGGCAGCGAGAGCAGUCCUGGUCCUCGCUUUUGGGAUCAUUGCUCCUGUAAACGGCAAUUAGUGGUUCAUUAACGCAGGCCCCUGCGGGCCUGAGCGGGGCCGACAGGAUGGGACCUUAGUUCCUGAAGAAAGAAAACUGGCCAUUUGUUGGCACCUAAUAGCCAAUUUUCCUCUAGCUGGAAUGGAGGGCGUGAAGCCAUCAGUUUUUUAAGCUUUUAUCUUUGCACGGAACGCAAAGAUAGGAGUGGGCUUUUCAGAGUCGUGUCUCAGCUUAAAAAGAAAAGAAAACAGAGAUAACCCCGCAGAAAUAAAACCAAAUGCAAAAGAAAUAAAAGCCCCUGAUAUUCUUUUCUCAGUCUUAUUCCAAGUGUGAAAAAAUCACACUGAAUCGAGAAAAAGACAGUGCUUCAAAAAAAAAAAAAAAAAAAGGCAAAAAAAAUUAACUGAGGAAAUCCCAGCUCUCGCUUCCUAAACCGCUGAUCCCCCUUCUGCUUGUUCGCACCUGCCCACAGCAGAACAGUGAAAGCCAGAGAAAUACUGCGCAGCAGAGCGUGGUGCACAAGGGAGCACAUCCAGACAGGCACGCGUCAGACCAGGGAACGCGGGACGGGGACGGGGAAAGGGUCGAUGCUCUUCACGGAAAUGGUGACUCCGGGGACAGCCAAGGGGGGACGGAGAGGGAGGGAGAGGGAGCAGAGAGCUCCCGGCACUCCAAAACACAAACAAACCCCCCCCAUAAAUAAGAUCAAAUAAAAUAUACACCAAUGGAGUCCAUGAGGAACUUCGAUGACAAAUUCACACAAGCGAGAAAGCGUUCUGGGAUGCCAGUGACGACUUGAAUGAAAAUGAAGAAGAAAAGUAAAUAUAAAAUAAAAUUAAAAAAAAAAAAGUCCGACCAAUGGAAUAAAAUAAAAUAGGUCACAUGGUUAGAAAUCAUUGGUGCUUCCUAGUAUCUAGUAGCAGAUCGCUUCCCAAAAACAACAAAAAAAAGUUUUUGGUCCUUCUAUAUAUAUACAUAUGUAUAUAUAUUAUUAUUUUUAAAAUGCGCGUGUGUGUAUAUAUAUAUGUAUAUAUAUUUAGUUGCAACAGUGCUUCUCCGAAAAAAGGUCCAUCUAUAAAUAUAAUUUUAUUUAUUUUUAUUUUUAAAUUUUAGUUCUUUUAAGUUAAAAUUCUCCAUCUCUCUAGGUAUUAUUUUUUGAAUGGUGUUAACCUGCUGAAGUUUUGCCAGAAAGGUGCCUGGCUGCGUCUGGGUUCGGUGAACUCGAAGACCUGGGACUGGGAUAUGCCAUCUGUCACCAUGUAUUGUCCCUGAUUUAAUGGAUCCUGGGGUGGUGGGUAGGCUGGAGGAACCGACUUGGAGUAGCUCACACCUGCAUCGAUGAUUGGGGGGAAAAAGAAACAGAUCAGUCAAAGUGCAAUUGGGUCAAUAGUCUUUCUUCGUCAUGCUCUCGCUUCUUAUCGCUUAAUAACCAGGGUCCCAAACAACAGGGAGGCGUGCUAGAGACGGCAAAUCUACAGAGGAACGCAGCAGCUGCCUAAACUCCGAGCUCAGAGGCUGCCUACGCUAGACCACGCGCUCAAGAUUUGGAAAAGAUCCAUUACUUUUGUAUUGGCAGAGUUUCGCCUGCCCUCAUGGAAAAGUCCUGCGUGAGCUAUCGAGGCCCGAACCCGGCCCGGCCGCGUGCGGCAUCGGUCUGGUCAGACGAAGGCAGACAAGCGCAUCGCUCGACCCGCUCGCAAAUUUAACACUUGCUGUUUCCCCGCUCGUUUUUCUCCCUCCCUCCCAGCUACGCCUGGAAAGCGGUUUUGCCCCAGCGCGCCCCGGUGACCAGCCCCGAGCAGCGCGACCCCGAGGACCGCUCGGCGCCAGCUCCUGGGAAGCUUGUAGGACUUUUCCAUAGGCAAAUACCAUCAAAUCACGCAGCUCCCUGUCCACUGUAGGGAGUAACCAAGAGCUUUGCUUACGGUGGACGAAAAAAAUGCUCUGUGAUUCAUUAACCUUUAACAAAUUCAUCCCAGUUAAUAUUUCAAACUUCUUUGAAAAGAACAAACCGGAGAUGUUCCGCAUUUGUGUCUGCAUGCUGCAAUAGAGUUACUCAUCAACAAGUGUUCUGCUCUGUCCUUCCCAAGUUCCUCUCUCCCACAGGACGCCUGCAGGGCAGAGCGCAGCCCCAGAGCCCUGGCUGGCCUGGGGUCAAGCCUGGGACAAGGUCAGCUCUAAGAUACCGGGGACACUUCUCUACCAUCCUUGUUGGCAGGCCCCAACCGCCAGGGUGAAUUUACCACACUACGUGACUUCAGCCGAUGGUGCCCCACACGGGCAGAGCACGGGCUCGGGCUCAGCUCUGCCCUACCUCUCCCACCCCUUCUUCUGACACUGAGCUGCCCUUUGGAAGGCAGGCCAACGCGCGGGCACUGUAACCGACCGCAGAGUCUGCUCGGGAGGGCGAACUCUAGCCCUGAACCCGGGCAAGGGUGUGGACAUUCUCCUGGAGGCCACCAGCCUUCAGUGCCUUGGCCACUUUUCCCAGGAGAGACUGGUGAGGGAUUUCAGGACCUGUGGUAAGGUUAGGACCUGGUACAAGUCCCUUACGUGGCUAGAGUUGGGAAAUACACCUUCCUCUGUCUGGUAAGUGGUUUGGAUCUUCGAUUGACUCAAAGGACCAGGAAUUACUUCAGUUCAACCAAUUACUUCAAAGGCAAGUAGGCCCUGUGCCACCAAGAUCACUAACUAAUGUUCUGCAACACAAAAGAGCCGUGAAUCUAAAGCCGCUACUAAGGGACAUGGAGCAAUUGUUUCUAGUUUUGGAAGACCUUGAAGCCACAUCGCUUUAAUGACAUGGCCCAGUGUCUUUUGCAUCCUGUGGCUGCAGAUCAGCGGUCAGCCUCGUGAGGCGGCCAGUCUGCCAUGCUGAGCUGGGCUGAGCCCUCUACUGUCUCUACACCAAUUUGUGGAGGCUGAACUAAUGUAGUUUAAGCACGAUAUAGAAAUGCUAAGAAAUCUGCUGGAUCAGCAAAACGUUAUGCACUUGGAAGGCUGGAGAAGUAGAGAAAGGACAGUCUGGCUGAAGUCCACUGACAUUCAUGGGGUUACGCUGCGAAGAACGUAAUCCACUGUCUGUCUUCUCCAAAAGAGGAAAAGGCAGACUCCCCUGGCCGGAUCACUAGUAAACCCCAGUCAGUUCUUUCCCAAAGUAGCCUUUUUGGUCCAAACUCCUGAAAAAUGUCUAUCCCUGCCUGAAACAUACCCACGCACACAGUGCCGCUGUCCUCAGCGAGGAAGCUCAGACCCAUAUUCUCAAAGUUGUUUGCGGGGCCCUGCUCGGAGAUCUAGGCUGUUGGCAUGAACAUCUAAUCUGGAUGGACGUCAAAAGCUCCUGGCUGGUUCUACUUGAACAAGCAGCCGAAGGUUUGCAUCUUUAUCGUAUUUAUCAAACAGCCUCCAUGGCCUGACCGGUCGAGACCGCGGCUCUCGAUGGCAUGCAUAAUUACCGUGUGUUUGUGGGCAUGCAAAUAAAAACAUUUGUGCUCUGGCAAGUCGGGCUGAUAAUUCCAUCAGAAUACAUUGUCUGGUGAGACUGUGACACAGCACUUUGCAAUAGCUUGAGGUGCCCCGAGAAUGGCUCUUUUUUUUUCCAGACAUACCCCCAUGUGCUUGACAAGGUGGAACGCGGGCACUGGGGAGGGGGGAGGAGGGAGAUUCACCUCAUCUGCACAUCCUCAAACCCUGAGAAAGAGAAAUUCUGGGGAAAAGUAUGACAGGUCGGUAUUUUUCUCCUCUGUCCUGAAGAAGUGGUUUGCUCCCUCAUCAGAUCCCGGGGCUGUUGUGCAAAAUUGUCUCUUGAGGGAUUUCUUUUUCUAUGCAAAGCCAUAACUCCACUGCAAUUCAACAGAAAGAAAUGAGCAAAGCCCUUUUCCAAUACAAUCUCGGGCUGCUCAGCGAAGAAUUCAAAGCGCAAAGGGAAAGAAUCGAUGCGUAAGUAAUGAUUUCUAGACUCAGCUGCUGCGCUGCCUUUCCAAGGUGUAAGAAAGCAGCUCUACACCAAUGACCAGACUUGGAGCUCCUUCUGCUGGUUCAUGCAUAAUUCUGCACCGCAGCAGAACAUAAAGGCUGCAGCUGCACAGCAAGAUCGUUCGGCAGGGUGGGGGUUGUGGAAAUCUGCUCAGAAUGAGAAAAAGAAAACUCCAGGGUUUAUAAUUUGGCUAGACAAAACUGGUAAAGAGGGAUGCUGUGCUGUCAGUUGAAAUCAUGUCUUUUUUUAGCACUAGGCAACGUCACUUGGACUCUUUCAGAUUUCUCAGCUCAGAAGAAAACAAUUAAAAAGAUUUAAAAGUGUCUCUUUUUUCCCUUCUAGUUCUUUUUUUUAAAGUGUCUCUUCUAUUUGAGGUUACAACACGACUUCAGUAGCACUCGAGGAUUUAGGAGCAUGCUAUUAACUCACAGGCAAUCCACAUGAACACGUGCAGACAGACCCAGUUAUAAUAUAGCAGGACAGCUACAUUAAGACCGCACCUUUCCAGCGUUAAUACAAAACAUACACAGAAUAUUCAGAUUUGCCUAUAUAUAACCAUGGAAACUUGCCUUACAAGCCAUUUAUUUCAUCCUCAACCUUUAAGAUCUUAGCUUAUACUUUGAUCAGGAGCUAUUUCAUAGGCUUUUCUUCUACCUAGCUGUCUAGAUAUCACACUGUUUAUUAGCCAGAGUUGAGUGGGAGACAAUAAAAUAUCAUCCCCUGCUUUCUCCACUGGCUGAGUGGAGGCUGCUGGUAGGAAAGGAAGCAGUGCUGCGCUAAGGAACCUCUCAUCUCCCCCUGACCUCAACAGCAGCCGAGACAACUUGCAUCCUUCAGGAGCCAUGCUCAAAAAUAACCCAUAAAUUCCAUAUCCUCCUCAAUAUUGUAACCCAUACACAACGUGGGGCAGCCAGGAACACACCUCGAGAACACUGAUUGUUGUACAGUUAAUUGCUCCUGCAAUAUCGACAAGUUUAAAGAAAUAAGCAGCAGUCAUGGCUGAAUGGGCACAGCCCUUUGCCUUUCUUCAGCACGUUUCAACAGAGGAUCUCAAAGCACUUCACCGCUAUUCACUUGGUGGCUGUCACGUUUAGCGUUAGCAAACUACGCCGUGCUUGAUAUUCGUCGUGCUCCCUGUCUGCACGCCUCGUUUUUACAGCAAGAGGCGUGGAUGGCGGCUGCGAACAGGAACCCUCUGCCUCCGAAGGCAGUCCUGAGCAGCCGGGACUUCUUCAGUUUACACUUCCGUGCUAAACUACCCGACCCAAAUUUUGUCAUACUCGCCCAGCGCAGGAGGAAUUUAAGUGGUGCGUUAGCCACGGCUCUUCACACAGCUGGGGAUUUCACUGACCGACCUGGCGGAGGUAGAUACUACCAGGGACGGUACCAGUGAGGAGAACAAGCCUUAGCUCCCUUUCCUAACCACUAGCCUAACUGCAGCUUCAGAAACGCAGCAGAGGGAACCAGUAAGCGUGUGUCCUGGCUGUUCCACAGCCCGCCACAGUAUCUACAAACACUGAGGUAACUUGACCUUCCCGAGUCUAUUUAUCAAGUCUGUUACUGCAACCUGAUGUCACCAGACUAGACAUUAAGAUAAUGAUUCCUCAUGUGAUAAGCAAAAGCUAAGCGAGGCAAGAUGGAAUAAAUGAUACUAGGGCUUUAUCAAUCACAGUCAGGUGGAAACUAAUUUAUCCCAUCUUGUACUUCUAGAGCCUCCCUCUCCUCCAGCAUUCUGUACUCUGAUAGCAAAGAUCAGUCCGUCCGUUUCAUUAACUGGAAGAGAUCAGCUCACCCAUCACUGCCCUGAAAUGCAGCCUCUUCUGGGUAGCAAUGCUGCCCCUCACCUAAAAUACCUCACCAAACUGGAAGCGCAGGAGAAUCUGGGCUGACAGACUUAUUACAGCUGGAAUCUCAACAUCUUGGCUCUUCAAACGAGGGCCAGUGGAAAACCCAAGAGGCCCAUUUCACAUCUCAACCAAAAACUCCCCUGGAGAGCUUGCUCAGAAGCACAUGCCCAUUGCUGAGUCACCCGUACGAUCCUCAGAGGUCUCCCAGCCAAGCAUUUAUUCGUGAUUUUCCUUAGCUUGUACAUCUGCCCGGAUCUCAGAUGAACCCCCUGACUCCAGCUGGGUCAACAAACCUUGAGUGAGAAGCCAUCUACCUAUACCAUCAUCAACGAGUCCAGCACCCGUGGACCCACAGCUGUAAUUUCUCUGAAUCUGUUGGGAAAUACCCCCGAGAACAUGACUAGCGCCGUUCUUUCACCUACACUGUGGGAAGCUCUGUAAAAAAAAGGGAAGUGACCCUGAUUAUCUGAAAAUGCAAAUGUCCCUCUGUUUUAAAGGGGUUAGUCUGGGUGUCACUCAAUUACGCUGAACCCCCCCGAGGCUAUGCCUGCAUGUGUGAAUAGGACUGGGGGAACGUGUCGGGGCCACAUCAAUCUAGUUAGCAGUGAAGAUGCAAUCAAAUAGGUUUAAACACUCUGGAGGACCACAGGAGGUACCUACAGGCUCUGCUACCUGGUAAGACCUGCCCCAGCCAGCUGGAGGAAGCCAGCACAAGCGUGCCAACAGGCAGACACCUCCUUCUGCUCUGCAGACUUGCUGGGGGAGAGCUCGAAGUGCUGAAGUGCGAGAAGUCAGAGAAAAGCUGUUGGGUGUUUGGGUCAGGGAUUUUUUAUGUCAUAGUUCGCCGUGAGCUCAAGUGAUCAGAAAGGAAGAAAUUAGCAGGAAAAUUCAGUGACUCAGAGGGUGUUUUACUGCAGGCCAAAGCAGUUCAUGCUGGCUGAUGAUUUAACCCCUGCCGGCUUUGCAUAGCUGAGUGUUAUGGGCAGAUUUAAUGACAGCAUCCUUCGAAGCUCGGGGCCAGGGGUGAUGGUGAUUGAAUAUAUGUCUCCCUCUUUCCUCAAGUCCCAGACCACCGGGCUAAAGACUUGCCUGGGCUCAGGGUAUCUGCUUUGGUGGAGCUGUGGCACAGUGCAGAGGAGAAUACACAGGACAGAGCGAUGGCCAUGAAGGAGCUGGCUCAUAGCAUGGGUCUGAAGCGCUCUCCUGGGGUGGGAAACGCUCCCACCUAGUACUAAGGUCACUUUAAAUUUGAACGGACAUUACUUUUUCCAAAAUGGAAACAUUAGUGGGAAAUGGUGCUUUAAGAAUGGGAUCUCCUUCCCGGGCACUGGACCCUCUAAUCCCCCUGACAUCCCUGGCUGACAGCUUUAGGACCAUGAGCAAAAGUCCCUCAGGUGUACGUGCUGUCCUGCGUGGGGACAGGUGUGGACAAAGCUGGGGAGCAGAAGAGUAACGGAAUGCUUCUGAAAGCUGCAAACAUUAAUCCUUGGAGGGGGGAUUAAAAGUGGCCAGUGGAACAGACACCCCUGACGGGCAGAGGCACUAAAGGAGCCUUCUGCUGUCAGACACUUGCAAAUUAAAAAAGUACCCUGGCUAAUCCUGCGUCUAUGCUAAGGAUGGACUGGAGAUCCACAAAGGAUCCAUUUUCAGCGGAGCUUUAGACUCGCUUCCACUGCUUUAGUCAAUAAUGAGCACAAGCUUGGAAGCGCAGCUCGAUGCUGUCUCAACGCUGCCGAGUCAGUGCAGGCAGCAAAGGCCCUCACUGGUACCUGGACUUAUCUGCAGAAAAGCCGCACGCUUGAUAAGCUGCAGCUUAAAAAAGGUGGUGGGGUUUUUUGUUGUUUUUGUAAGUCAAGACAAAUAAAGUUCUCUGUUACUUUACUAUUUCUAGGAGACACCACACUGAAUUCUAUUCCCAGUUACCACACUGACAUUGAAAGAGGCUGAAGGGCAGUAACCAAGAGGCAAAAUCUUGAACGAUCAAUGCAAAAAGAAAAAAAACAACAAACAGCCCUUUUCUCUAUCUGUUGGUAAGGUGCA
Non-coding RNA from Phalacrocorax carbo (great cormorant), 13329 nucleotides. NCBI's taxonomy places the organism in Eukaryota, Metazoa, Chordata, Aves, Suliformes, Phalacrocoracidae. The record is from RefSeq and is a predicted model, not a curated record.